AGGAGAAUGAGGCAAGCCAAGCUGUGAGGAGUCUGUGGGUCAUGGCUUUGGCAGCGUGGAACCUGGGACAUAGAGUCCCCCUUGAUACGGCUGUUCAGCAGACCAACUUUGUUGUAAAUAUUUAGAUAAAAAUGGGCUUUAGAGCAGCCACAUCUGAAGACCCACAAGGCUGAAUGUUACACAGGCAAUCAGAAUCUGAUUGAAGAUAAACUCAUCCUAUUUGGAUCAGAGCAUUAGAAGAAAGAAAGAACUGACACUUCUCAACCUUCUCUAGUUGAAGACUUCUCUUUGCUAUAACUACUUGAAGAGUUCAGCAGAAAAAUUUUACUGAAGAAUCCCUGAUCCUCCUUUAAGUAGCUGUAGAGAAUAUUCACUAAGUGUAAUGGGACACGUCUCUCUCAUGCCCACUUCUUUUCUCUUAUCCCUGCAAGAAAAUGAAGUUUUGUUGGAGUCAGA
Molecule: long non-coding RNA, 456 nt
Filed under: Homo sapiens (human)
Lineage: Eukaryota; Metazoa; Chordata; Mammalia; Primates; Hominidae
Description: HSALNT0399461
Source: RNAcentral